This 253-nucleotide unclassified non-coding RNA is filed under the name uncultured Cellvibrionales bacterium. Its description in RNAcentral is "contains 16S-23S intergenic spacer region". It matches the Rfam family "Bacterial small subunit ribosomal RNA", at positions 524 to 776 of the family's 1533-position model. Lineage: Bacteria; Pseudomonadati; Pseudomonadota; Gammaproteobacteria; Cellvibrionales. The record is from RNAcentral.
UACGGAGGGUGCGAGCGUUAAUCGGAAUUACUGGGCGUAAAGCGCGCGUAGGCGGCUUGGUAAGCUGGAUGUGAAAGCCCUGGGCUCAACCUGGGAACUGCAUCCAGAACUGCCAGGCUAGAGUAUGGUAGAGGGCAGUGGAAUUUCCGGUGUAGCGGUGAAAUGCGUAGAGAUCGGAAGGAACACCAGUGGCGAAGGCGGCUGCCUGGACCAAUACUGACGCUGAGGUGCGAAAGCGUGGGGAGCAAACAGG